AGCUCCAAUAGCGUAUAUUUAAGUUGUUGCAGUUAAAAAGCUCGUAGUUGAACUUUAGGCCCGGUUGGACGGUCAGCUCUAUGGGUUUGUACUGUCCUGACUGGGUCUUACCUUCUGGUGAGCUGUCGUUCUGUUAAUUCAGUGCGGCAGGGAACCAGGACUUUUACUUUGAAAAAAUUAGAGUGUUUAAAGCAGGCAUCCGCUUGAAUACAUUAGCAUGGAAUAAUAGAAUAGGACUUUGGUUCUAUUUUGUUGGUUUCUAGGACCGAAGUAAUGAUUAAUAGGGAUAGUUGGGGGCAUUAGUAUUUAAUUGUCAGAGGUGAAAUUCUUGGAUUUAUGAAAGAUGAGCUUAGGCGAAAGCAUUUACCAAGGAUGUUUUCA
Molecule: ribosomal RNA, 381 nt
Filed under: uncultured eukaryote
Lineage: Eukaryota
Description: SSU rRNA
Rfam family: Eukaryotic small subunit ribosomal RNA
Source: RNAcentral